GACGAACGCUGGCGGCGUGCUUAACACAUGCAAGUCGAACGAAAAGGCCCUGCUCUUGUGGGGUGCUCGAGUGGCGAACGGGUGAGUAACACGUGAGUAACCUGCCCUUGACUUUGUGAUAACUUCAGGAAACUGGGGCUAAUACCGGAUAGGAGCUCCUGCUGCAUGGUGGGGGUUGGAAAGUUUCGGCGGUUGGGGAUGGACUCGCGGCUUAUCAGCUGGUUGGUGGGGUAGUGGCUUACCAAGGCUUUGACGGGUAGCCGGCCUGAGAGGGUGAACGGCCACAUUGGGACUGAGAUACGGCCCAGAAUCCUACGGGAGGCAGCAGUGGGGAAUAUUGCACAAUGGGCGGAAGUCUGAUGCAGCAAUGCCGCGUGCGGGAUGACGGCUUUCGGGUUGUAAACAGCUUUGGACUGAGCCGAAGCCUGAGUGACGGUAAUGGGUAAAGAAGCCACGGCUAACUACGUG
This 468-nucleotide ribosomal RNA is filed under the name uncultured bacterium. RNAcentral's name for it is "partial 16S ribosomal RNA". It matches the Rfam family "Bacterial small subunit ribosomal RNA", at positions 28 to 507 of the family's 1533-position model. The record is from RNAcentral.